UACGGCAACAUCGCGUUGAAACAUUGGUUCCCUUACGAUCACCAAAGUUAAGCAACGUCGAUCCUGGUCAGUACAUAGAUGGGUGAUUCCUUGGAAAUACCAAAUACUGCAC
Non-coding RNA from Acanthosepion pharaonis, 112 nucleotides. Lineage: Eukaryota; Metazoa; Mollusca; Cephalopoda; Sepiida; Sepiidae. The record is from the annotation of a GenBank genome assembly.